This 474-nucleotide ribosomal RNA is filed under the name Micrococcus sp. KT16. RNAcentral's name for it is "bacterial SSU rRNA". It matches the Rfam family "Bacterial small subunit ribosomal RNA", at positions 1 to 486 of the family's 1533-position model. The record is from RNAcentral. Lineage: Bacteria; Bacillati; Actinomycetota; Actinomycetes; Micrococcales; Micrococcaceae.
UUUUUACGGAGAGUUUGAUCCUGGCUCAGGAUGAACGCUGGCGGCGUGCUUAACACAUGCAAGUCGAACGAUGAAGCCCAGCUUGCUGGGUGGAUUAGUGGCGAACGGGUGAGUAACACGUGAGUAACCUGCCCUUAACUCUGGGAUAAGCCUGGGAAACUGGGUCUAAUACCGGAUAGGAGCGUCCACCGCAUGGUGGGUGUUGGAAAGAUUUAUCGGUUUUGGAUGGACUCGCGGCCUAUCAGCUUGUUGGUGAGGUAAUGGCUCACCAAGGCGACGACGGGUAGCCGGCCUGAGAGGGUGACCGGCCACACUGGGACUGAGACACGGCCCAGACUCCUACGGGAGGCAGCAGUGGGGAAUAUUGCACAAUGGGCGAAAGCCUGAUGCAGCGACGCCGCGUGAGGGAUGACGGCCUUCGGGUUGUAAACCUCUUUCAGUAGGGAAGAAGCGAAAGUGACGGUACCUGCAGAA